This is a long non-coding RNA of Melospiza melodia melodia, 2108 nucleotides long. RefSeq lists it as uncharacterized. The transcript has 3 exons. NCBI's taxonomy places the organism in Eukaryota, Metazoa, Chordata, Aves, Passeriformes, Passerellidae. The record is from RefSeq and is a predicted model, not a curated record.
GCUCGGACAGCCCGCGAAGCUCAGCGAGCCCCACCAGCCCGAAAAAAGGGCCUGAAAUGGCGUGGCUCGAAAGUGCUGGAAAUGCCAUUCGGUCCUGGCAGCGUGGUACUGGCGGUGAUGAGGCUCGCUAGACACUGUCCUAAUGAAAAAUAAUUGUUCCUGCCACAGGCUGUUUGUAAUUUACACACAAAGGCUCCUUACAAGUCCAAUUAUCAUUUGGAACUGCAGGAGUUGGAAUUGCUCUACCUUGUGCCUCCAGGACACUUCUUGUUGUUUUCAACACGUUUUGCUCAGGUCUUCAGCAGCCAAACUUUACUUUGCCUGAACAGUACUGUGGACUUUUCAGACCUCUAGCCCAACUUGAGUGAGCACAUUUAAUGCCUGGCUGAAUCACCCACAUGAUGAGCACCCCAGUGUCCAGCAGGCACAGCCAGGAGCUGCGUGUUUCACUCUGGAAAAUAACUGGUGUCCUGGGAGAGAGGAGCACCCUCCCAUUUGUUUGCAAUGGCUGCUCAAACACUGUUGUGCUAGAAGCCUUCUGUUCUGCAGAACUAAGGAAUACCCUGAUCCUGGGCCAGCUCUUUCUGUGCAGCAAAGCCCAGUUUCAAUGGGCUUUCAGGGAUCGUUGAGCAGAUAACUCAGUGCUGAGAAUGUGAGAGCACUGUGUCCUGUUGGGGGUGGCAAGCAGUUUUGCAAGGGAGCCAUUUGUAUUUAAAAUUUUAGAUCUGCGUUGUAGAAGAUCAUUUUGGAUACCCAGGUUUAAAAGUUGGAACUUAAAUUUAGGUGUGGGUUAGUAACUGGACUUUGUCUCUUGUGGGAAAUGAAUUUCCAGGUUGGGAACUACUCGAACAAGGCAGUUUUCCCAUUUGUUAAAGAUAGCUAUUAAUUUUAAUUUGCAUAAAGAAUAUGGAUAUAUGAGUCCCCAAUUACUUUAAAAGCAAUGAGAUGAUGAAGUAAUUAGUUCCAUGAGGAAAUGAUAUUACAUAGUGGAAAGCUUAGUUUGCCAAGGAUCAAUUUGUUGACAUUUGAGUCCAACUAGAAAUGAAAUGUGUGGAACAAAAAGUAGAGUAUUUUAGUAAAAAGCCAUCUCAUCAAUUUGGAUACAAAUUAAAAGCAUCUCUGCUUCCCAGCCAGAGGGGCUAAUAACAGAUUUCUCUGCAGUAGAAGACUCACAAUGACAAUUUAAAAUAGAAGAAAAAUACAACAGUGUAUCAUUAAGGCAUAAGGAAUGAGCAUGUUUCUUUCUCUAUUCCAGAUGUGGAAUCAUUAUAGCACUUUCCCCCUAUGUAUAAAUGAGGAUACUACUACAUGUGCCACCUUUUAGAAUCAUAGAACAAUUUGGGUUGGAAGGGAUCUUAAAGAUCAUCUAGUUCCAACCCUGCUGCCAUGGGGUGGGGUGUGUGUGUUUGUGUGUGAUGUGCAUAAUGAGUGUUGUAUCUGUGAAACCUCUGAAAUCCUCAAAUAGGAAAUAAAAAAGGAAGGGAAAUAGCAUAGCUUUGGUUUACAUCUGGAUUUCCUUUGCAUGAUGGCUAUAGUGGUGUAUGUGGUCAUAUAAAUUCACUGCAUCAUCUCCACAACUAAAGCACAACAAAAUUUUGUUCCAAAAAUUUUCCUGUCUGAACAGGAGAUUAUAAUAAAUACAAAUCAAGUGAUAACAAUGAAAAAGGAGUAAACUACGAGGAAAUGAAAAAUACAGCUGUGAGAGGUAAAAAAGUAGUUGCUAUGAUAACACAUUUUGCUAGUUUGUUCAAGAAACAGAAGGGAAGGACAAGGUGCUUUUUACAGGCCAGAGGGUUUUCUUUCUGAGUAAAAGAUAGAUGUGAAGCUUGCAGAUAUAACAGGCAAAUGAAGGGUUACAUGAAUUAUCCAAAGUACAAUGACUUUUAGUUAUUCUUGAAAAUAAUAGCAGUUUUAAAAUCUUUUAAUUAACUUAAGCUUGGAUUUAAAGUAUAUAGGCCCCACAAAAUUUUACUUUUGCAUUAUUCAUAGAGUCAUAUAGCUACAAUAAAUUUACAAAAGGUAAUAUAUAAGAUCAUUCAUGUCAGUGUUGGAUAAACACUCAGCAAAAGGAUAGCAAGGGUUCACUUUGUCAUCUAGCGAUUGUGUAA